This 699-nucleotide ribosomal RNA is filed under the name Erysiphe vaccinii f. elevata. RNAcentral describes it as "Erysiphe elevata partial large subunit ribosomal RNA". It matches the Rfam family "Eukaryotic large subunit ribosomal RNA", at positions 62 to 775 of the family's 3401-position model. The record is from RNAcentral. Lineage: Eukaryota; Fungi; Ascomycota; Leotiomycetes; Helotiales; Erysiphaceae.
AAACAAACCGGGAUUACCUCAGUAACGGCGAGUGAAGCGGUAACAGCUCAAAUUUGAAAUCUGGCUCCUUCGGAGUCCGAGUUGUAAUUUGUAGAAGAUGCUUUGGGUUGCGAGUUCGGCCUAAGUUCCUUGGAACAGGACGUCAUAGAGGGUGAGAAUCCCGUAUGUGGCCGAGGCCCGCGCCUAUGUAAAGCUCUUUCAACGAGUCGAGUUGUUUGGGAAUGCAGCUCAAAAUGGGUGGUAAAUUUCAUCUAAAGCUAAAUAUGGGCCAGAGACCGAUAGCGCACAAGUAGAGUGAUCGAAAGAUGAAAAGCACUUUGGAAAGAGAGUUAAACAGUACGUGAAAUUGUUGAAAGGGAAGCGCUUGCAACCAGACUUGGGCGCUGCUGAUCACCCCGAGUUCUCUCGGGUGCACUCGACAGCGCACAGGCCAGCAUCGGUUCGGGUGGCUGGAUAAAGGCCGUAGGAACGUGGCUCCCUUCGGGGAGUGUUAUAGCCUACGGUGCCAUGCAGCCCAGCCGGACCGAGGACCGCGCCUUCGGGCUAGGAUGCUGGCGUAAUGGUUGUAAGCGACCCGUCUUGAAACACGGACCAAGGAGUCUAACAUCUAUGCGAGUGUUUGGGUGGUAAACCCAUACGCGGAAUGAAAGUGAACGUAGGUGAGAACCCCUUUGGGGCGCAUCAUCGACCGAUCCUGAU